RNAcentral lists this ribosomal RNA (564 nucleotides) under Lucanus kanoi kanoi. Its description in RNAcentral is "partial 16S ribosomal RNA". It matches the Rfam family "Bacterial large subunit ribosomal RNA", at positions 1781 to 2619 of the family's 2925-position model. The record is from RNAcentral. Lineage: Eukaryota; Metazoa; Arthropoda; Insecta; Coleoptera; Lucanidae.
UAGGCAAAUUUCUUUUCGCCUGUUUAAUAAAAACAUGGCUUUUUGAUAAUAAUUUAAGGUCAGGCCUGCCCAAUGAUAAUUUAAAUGGCUGCGGUAUAUUGACCGUGCAAAGGUAGCAUAAUCAUUAGUUUUUUUAUUGGAAGCUGGAAUGAAGGGUUUGACGAGAAAGAAGCUGUCUUAAUUUAAUUAUUUGAAUUUUAUUUUUGAGUGAGAAAGCUUAAAUAGUUUUGAGGGACGAGAAGACCCUAUAGAAUUUAAUAGUUUAUGUAUUUUAGAAUUUUGGUUUAUGUUAAUUGAUGUAAAUUUAAAUUAAUUUGUUGGGGUGAUAGGAAAAUUUGAAUAACUUUUUUUUGUAUUUUUCAUUAAUAAAUGAUUAUUUGAUCCAUUAGUAGUGAUUAUAAGAAAAAAUUACCUUAGGGAUAACAGCGUUAUUAAUCUGGAGAGUUCAAAUCGAUAGAUUAGAUUGCGACCUUGAUGUUGGAUUAAAAUUGGCUUUUGGUGAAGGGACUAAUAAGCUAAGUCUGUUCGACUUUUAAAAUUUUACAUGAUCUGAGUUCAGACCGG